RNAcentral lists this ribosomal RNA (466 nucleotides) under uncultured bacterium. RNAcentral's name for it is "partial 16S ribosomal RNA". It matches the Rfam family "Bacterial small subunit ribosomal RNA", at positions 28 to 507 of the family's 1533-position model. The record is from RNAcentral.
GACGAACGCUGGCGGCGUGCUUAACACAUGCAAGUCGAACGGAAAGGCCCAGCUUGCUGGGUACUCGAGUGGCGAACGGGUGAGUAACACGUGGGUGAUCUGCCCCUGACUUUGUGAUAAGCCUGGGAAACUGUGUCUAAUACCGGAUAUGACCUUACAUCGCAUGGUGUUUGGUGGAAAGCUUUUGCGGUUGGGGAUGGGCCCGCGGCCUAUCAGCUUGUUGGUGGGGUAAUGGCCUACCAAGGCGACGACGGGUAUCCGACCUGAGAGGGUGAUCGGCGACAAUGGGACUGAGAGACGGAGCAGAAGGCAACGGGAGGAAGCAGUGGGGAAUAUUGCACAAUGGGAGCAAGCCUGAUGAAGAGACGCCGCGUGAGGGAUGAAGGCCUUCGGGUUGUAAACAUAAUGAACAAGGGACGAAGAGUGAGUGACGGUACCUGGAGAAGAAGCACCGGCCAACUACGUG